Cryptomeria japonica (Japanese cedar) is the source of this 1183-nucleotide long non-coding RNA. RefSeq lists it as uncharacterized. The transcript is spliced from 3 exons. The record is from RefSeq and is a predicted model, not a curated record. NCBI's taxonomy places the organism in Eukaryota, Viridiplantae, Streptophyta, Pinopsida, Cupressales, Cupressaceae.
UUCCAUACACAAUAGAACACUGACUAGUUGUACGUGUUGGUAGUAUACAUUUAUUAGUUAUACUUUUUAUUUCUAUGGCAUUUGUAUAUAAAUGUUGUCCCAAAAAAUUGUAGCUUAGUACUUAUACUUUUUAUAUCUAUGAGAUCCCUGUAUAAAUGUUCUUUGCAGCUAUGUGCACAUUCUCAUGCUAGAUUUCCCUAGUAACUAUUCUUAAUUAUUAUAGGACCAGCAACCAUUUAGAGAAAUUCAUGGGACAUAUCUAAAGUACCUAUUUGAUGGUCUACAUUCCAUUGCUAUUACUAGUUUAACCAAAAACCAAAAAUUUUAAUAGAAAAGAAGUUAUUGUGAUUUUUCUAUUGUUUUUGAAAUGAAACCAUGUGGUAUUGAUUUAUGAGAUUAUUCAGGUCUUAUGGCACUGUUUAAAAACUGCAUCAUUGAUUUAGAUUUUAAAGAUAAAUGCAAUGUUCAUGUCUACAACCUAUUGCUCAUAUUUUUAAUCUUAGCAACUAUGCUUUGAAAGUUAGUGUAAAAAAUCCUUAACAUUUAGGGGAACAAAUGAAAUCUAAGCAGUAAGCAUUAUUGAUGUUCAUGCCUAUAAUAUAGUCUAGUUAUUGUGAUAUAUCUAUUGCUUUUGAAAUGAAAUCAAAUGGUAUUGAUUUAUGAGAUUAUUGAAAUCUUAUGGUAUUAUUUGAAAAGUUCAUAGUUAGCCAAAUGAAUCAGCACAACAACUUGUCAUAGCUAUAUGUUCCUCCAUAGAACUGAAAGUUUGGCAAAUAAGUGCUUUUUAGAAACACUCUUGUUUUUGUUUUAAAAAAUUCUGAUUUUGAUACGGAUUGACAAUGUGAUUGUGGUUUUGUCUUGCAGAGUAUCUUUUGCACGGGACAAUCUUCUAGCUUCGACAUGCUGGCUGCUCAAGCUGGCAUUGGGAGCUGGCAUUGGGAUCGCAGGACAUGGAGUAAAUGCACAACACAUAUGUAAUUGAAGGCUCUUUGCUGCUGCUCAGAAAACACAUCCUGUUCUCUUCUAAAUACCCACUUUUGCACUCUCCGAUAAAUGGUUGCAAGGGAAAAUGGCUACCUCUCACACGAUCUAUGCUGGCUGCUACAUAGAUCAGAAAAUAUAGAACCAGCGGCUACUUUGCGAUGCUUGAUUCUUGGCCAGGUGACUUUUGACAAAAUUCGAG